CAGGCACCGUUCAGGCCUCAGACUAUUGUUAUCCUGACAAAGCCCAUGAACAGCAGCCACAUCGGAAUGUCUAGUUCUUGUCACCUGGGAAGCAGAAUGGUCUCUGUUUCAGGGUUGUUGGGGACGGAGAGGCUUAAAGAGGUCCAGCCUAAGGUAGAGUGGCUCGGAAGCUGUAGUUUGUCAACGCUGGAGACCACAAAGAGCCUUCUGGUCAGAAGGUAGGCGUGUCCAGCAAGAAGGACAAAAUCUGUCUCAUCACUGGGCUGGUGUCGCCCUGGAGUCGGGGCGGACAGCAAAGAGCUGAGAGUGACUGACACACUGCCAAUGGCUUAGAGGACAGGAGCGCUUCAGGGACUCCUGACUCACUGAUGCAUGGGCCUUGGAUUCACGAUUGCUCAGCUCUGGUCUCUCCCAUCAGAUCCUCCCUCCCUGCCCACAGGCACGGGAACUGGUUUGGUCAACCCUGGCAGUUAUUCCAUCCUGAGAGCUGUGUCAGACUCUACUCCAGGAGAUGCAGAUUGUCCUCCAGGCCACAGACACAGGACUGUGACAGUCAGGGGGAGGCAAGACCUGUUAUCUUGUUUGUCGUUAACAGCCAGGUAUCAUACCCAUCUCACAGAUGGACAAAUGAAGACAAAGAAAGAACAUCAGUAUACUCCGGCUCAUUAGACUCAAGGUGUAACAUCCUUGCGCUGUCUUCUUGCCAACAGCUUGGAUCUCUCCUGGGAGCAGCCGACGGGACCUCAGAGUGAAGUGUCUGGCAGUGUGGCGGCCAGGGGGAGGUGGGGUAUGUCAAGUCUGAACCUGACUCCUGCACCUGCAGGAUAAGCACAGAGCUGCCCAGCUGCCUCUUGCCCCGCUGCUGUGAGCACACCUCCUGCAGUCCUGCGAGCCCCGGAGUUUAUUCAGGGUCGUCCUGAAGGCUGGAAGGUUUUAAUCAGAUGUGUCUAGCUACCAACAAGAAGAGCACAGUGGGUAACAGUCCUCCGUGGAGGUUCUAGACCCUGAAUCUGGGUCCAGGCAGGUACUGCAGAGGCUGAGAAAAGAGGGCCUUAACCUCCACUGUCCCUGUGUGGGGUGGGGUGGGACAAGACACUCAUCGCCAAGGCAAAUCAUUCCUAUUUCCUGGAAACCAGUUAGGCCUCCCUGUCUUCUGCCUGUGUCUCUCCCCUUAACCCCUUGGGGCCCCCUACUCAGCAUAUGACACCCAACAGGAUCAAGGGCAGAUGGAGAGAGUACAACAGGAGAGGGGAAGUGGAGGACAUUAGCUGUAGCUGGACUUUCAGUCUGUUGUUGUUGUUGUUGUUGUUGUUGUUGUUUGCAGAGAGCUGACAUCCCCUGUGUGCCUGGGACAACACUGGAGCCCAUCGGGCAACUGUCAGCCUCCCUAGAGCCCAACCCGAGAUGGUGGGUCUGCUUUUUUGCACCCAGGGAGCAACCUCCUCCUCUGGCUUUUCCCUGCCACACACCCAGGCUGCAGAACACACAUAUCUUUGUUAAUUUAUGGGAACAAUACAACUCCACAGGGACCACCACUCUAGGCAGCGGCUCUGCCCACACCCAGCUGUUUAUCUCAGAUGUGUGGUGAGAAUAGCAGAACUCCCCACCCUCUCCCAGGCAAGGCACCACCCAGUGCUCACACACACACACACACACACACACACACACACACACACACCCCAUGCAGAUGUGAGCUCGCUGGCUCCUGUGAAAACAAGCACAGGGCCUGGCAUCCAUGGACAGCACAGCUGCAUGUACAGACAUACAGACAUGCAGAAAGCCCGGUGGGAGGGCUCUCUACUGAACCAGAGUCCUGCACCUCCCAGCUCUCCUACCCCUCUGGGGCCUCAAUGGCCCCUUUUCCUUGGCCGUGAACAUCAAAGAUCUUCACAGCUGACAGUCAUCACAGAGGACAGCUGCCUCGACACUGCCCACUCCAGGGCCUUGAGUCCGCUCUGUGGAGAGCCCUGCCCAGCUGUGGCUGGCCUCUGGACCUCUUGGUUGCACAGGCUCUGGCUUUCUCUGAGAGAAGUGCCUGCUCCAGCCAGUCCUUCCUCAUGGUUCCAGUUCCCGGGAGAGGCGGGACAGUUCCCGCUGGUUGUCAAUGACCUUCAGCUGCUGGACAUAAGCCCAGGUGCUGGCUGGACUCCGGGUGCUCAGGGACUGCUCGGAACCUGGAGGGAGGGAGAACCAUCAGAGAGGUAAGGCGCCAUGGCCACUUCACGGUGCCUACCUCUCUCCAGGAAGCAGCCUUAGCUCUCUCUUCUUCCCUACCUCACAUCCUCUCAACGCCAGUUCCCAGACCACUGUCUCUCCCACCACAGAGUCAGGAGGGCAGAGGCUGCAAAGUCCGAAUAAAGAAGACCCCACACCCCACCACAGUCUCAGCAUAGUAGGAACUAAAACAGAUAUGGUGGUGCACAUUUAUAAUCCUGGAGCUUCAGGAGCUGAGGCAGGAGGAUGGAGAGUCCCAGGCCCUGUUUCAAAAAACAAAACAAAACAAAAAAGCAAAAACAUCCAUACAUGUGGUACAUGCCUUUGCUCCCAGCACCCAGGAGGUGGAGGCAUGGGGAUCUUUAUGAGCUUGAAGUUAGCCUGGGCUACAUAAAGAGGUCCAGGCUAGCAAAGCCAAAAAGGGAAAGGAGCAAAAGCUGGAGGGAUAGCUCAGGGUGUAAACUGCAUGUUGUGUUGUGCGGCUGUAACUCCCAUGCUGGUGAGGCAGAAAUGGUCAGAUCACUGGGGCCAGCCUGACAGCCUAGGACGCCUGGUAUGUUCCAGGUCAGUGAGAGCUUGUCUCACAAAGAAGAGAGAGUGGGUGCCCAAGGAAGAACACCCAAGGCUGUUCUUUGACCACUGCACACACACGUGUGAGCCCAUAUGCAUGUGGAUGGCAUCCGUCCUCACACACAUGCACAGGUGCAUACACACAUCGAUGAGAAUAAAACUUGCAAAAAGUUCAUUGUGCAUGCAGGUGUGAGAUAAGGCUUUUUUUUUCUUUUUAUUAUUUUUAAAUGAAAGCACAGGCUAUGGCUCAGGCUUGGAAUCCCAGCCUGGGUCAUGAGGCAAGCCGGUCUCAGAUAAAAAUCAAUCAACCAAUAAGCAAAAUAUAAAAUAAAAACAGGAGUGACUCAAAACUCAUCAUAGUGGCUGCUGCGUGGAGAGAGAGGCAGAGGACAGUGGAGAACCAAGUCGCCAUCUGUGUUUCCUGCCUUGGACUGAGCCAAAGUCUCGGAGGAUUAUCACCAUGGAUGUAUCUAUCUGUGAGCACAGGGCAGGCACUGUGAUCUGAACCAUUGGCUACGACUACUCCUUAACUGCAUGAGCUCCCAUCAGAUAAGUGCAUAGGUUGGAGUUAGCACACGAGCUUCACCUCCAGCACUUCCCCCCUUAGCUUGAGCUAGCGGCCGUAACUUUCCCAGACAGGUGCCAACGAACUCUACGCUUACGUAUUGUACACGUACGUACCGUACGUACGCUUACGUACGGCACGUAAGCGUCCGGCUCUGUCCCAGCUACGCCAACUGUCAGUACCCUGUCCCACCACUUACAUGUGGAGAUUCUUGAUGCCUGGCUGUCCUCGUGGAUGUGGGAAACCCGGCUUCUGAGUGGUGAUAGAGGCGCUGGGCAGAGAGAGAGAGGGAGAGUCAGGGAGACGGCCACGCAGAGCCUCCGCGGGGGUGCUGAGGGGCUCCCGCCCAGGAGACCACCUCUUACCGGUGCUGUGGCUUCGGCAGUGGUGGAGCAUCCGCACGGCUCUGGCCAUCAUUCGCUGAGGACAACACAAGAGUCAAGAGAUCUGGCCUGUCAAGAGUGUCGCCUGCAUAUGGGGAUCUGGGAGUGAAGCUCCCUUUGAACCACGCUGAUAGGGACUAGGGUGUCUAUAAAAGACAGGGUUAUGGCUGCUUCAACCCAGUACAUCCAGACGCUCAAUGGGAGCGAGGCAGUAGCUGGAAGACAGAGGGAAGGCUAAGAGAUAAGAGCUGGAAGGGACUCUUACUGAACAGUGUGAUUUUUUUUUAAAUGAAAUUUAUUUAUUUUA
This is a non-coding RNA of Rattus norvegicus (Norway rat), 4039 nucleotides long. The record is from RefSeq and is a predicted model, not a curated record. Lineage: Eukaryota; Metazoa; Chordata; Mammalia; Rodentia; Muridae.